GGGGAUGUAGCUCAGUGGUACAGCACCUGCCUGGCAAGUAUGAGGUCCUGAGUUCGAUCUCAGAUACACA
Molecule: transfer RNA, 70 nt
Filed under: Heterocephalus glaber (naked mole-rat)
Lineage: Eukaryota; Metazoa; Chordata; Mammalia; Rodentia; Bathyergidae
Rfam family: tRNA
About the family: Transfer RNA (tRNA) molecules are approximately 80 nucleotides in length. Their secondary structure includes four short double-helical elements and three loops (D, anti-codon, and T loops).
Source: Rfam by way of RNAcentral